Non-coding RNA from Brachypodium distachyon (stiff brome), 125 nucleotides. The record is from Rfam. NCBI's taxonomy places the organism in Eukaryota, Viridiplantae, Streptophyta, Magnoliopsida, Poales, Poaceae.
UUAAUACUCCCUCCGUCCCAUAUCAAGUGCCAAAAUAUUAAAUGCAUCUAGAUGCUUUUUCGGUAUAGAUACAUCCAUAUUUAUGCAAAUUUGAGUCACUUAAUAUGGGACGGAGGGAGUACUAC